CGCCGCGUGAGGGAUGAAGGCCUUCGGGUUGUAAACCUCUUUCGGCAGGGACGAUGAUGACGGUACCGGAAGAACAAGCCCCGGCUAACUUCGUGCCAUCAGCCGCGGUAAUACGAAGGGGGCGAGCGUUGUUCGGAAUUACUGGGCGUAAAGAGCGCGUAGGCGGUGCGGUAAGUCCGGUGUGAAAUCCCCGGGCUCAACUCGGGGGGUGCCCUGGAUACUGGACGGCUUGAGAUUCGGGAGAGGGGGGUGGAAUUCCCGGUGUAGUGGUGAAAUUCGUAGAUCUUAGGAAGAACACCAGUGGCGAAGGCAGCG
Molecule: ribosomal RNA, 315 nt
Filed under: uncultured Pseudomonadota bacterium
Lineage: Bacteria; Pseudomonadati; Pseudomonadota
Description: bacterial SSU rRNA
Rfam family: Bacterial small subunit ribosomal RNA
Source: RNAcentral